AUUUAAUUGAUGUAAGGAGAACAUCAUAUUUAUAAAUCAUUAAGUGGUAAAACCAUAUUCUACCUAUUAAUACAUGAAAAUGGUAGAAAAUAUGACUAAAAUUUUCAAGUUUGUUUAUGUUAUGAUUAUCUUUUUGCCCCUAUUUAUUGUUGCAACGAAAAGUCCGCCGGCUAUUCCAUGUAAGCAUAAGCGUGAAUGUCCACCGAAGUUGUGUCUAUAUCCUUAUUUUGUGAAGUGUGAAAAAACACAUGGUUAUUGUUAUUGUGAUUAAAGUCCUAUUCAAGUAUGAGUUAUUGUUAUUGUUAGGGUGGCUCAUUUUAACCAGUUGUCAUGGAUUAUAUGAGUGUCAGACCCAAGAUGCUACACAAAUGCAUGUUUUAUAAGUUGUCAUUUAAUUAUUGUGAUGCCACUUAAUGAUUUGAUUAUAUUUUAGUUUUUUUUUUAAUUUCACAAAUCUUGUAUUAUGGUUUUGUACUCUAAGAUUAUUCUUUUGAAAUGAAAUAAAGCAUCAAUGAAUAUUAUUUA
This is a long non-coding RNA of Trifolium pratense (red clover), 525 nucleotides long. RefSeq lists it as uncharacterized. NCBI's taxonomy places the organism in Eukaryota, Viridiplantae, Streptophyta, Magnoliopsida, Fabales, Fabaceae. The record is from RefSeq and is a predicted model, not a curated record. The transcript is spliced from 2 exons.